RNAcentral lists this ribosomal RNA (254 nucleotides) under uncultured bacterium. RNAcentral's name for it is "partial 16S ribosomal RNA". It matches the Rfam family "Bacterial small subunit ribosomal RNA", at positions 524 to 776 of the family's 1533-position model. The record is from RNAcentral.
UACAGAGGUCCCGAGCGUUUGUUCGGAUUCACUGGGCGUAAAGGGUGCGUAGGUGGUGAGGUAAGUCGGAUGUGAAAUCUCCGAGCUCAACUCGGAAAUGGCAUUGGAAACUACCUUGCUUGAGGGUUGGAGGGGGGACUGGAAUACUUGGUGUAGCAGUGAAAUGCGCAGAUAUCAGGAGGAACACCGGUGGCGAAGGCGGGUCUCUGGGCAACAACUGACGCUGAGGAGCGAAAGCGUGGGGAGCGAACAGG